CAAUCUCACGCAAAUCUCUCAACCCUAAGCCCCAAUUUCACUAAUAAUUCAAUAAAUUGAUUUUAAUGCAUGUUUUCCCUUGUCAAAACCAGUGGGUUUGGUGGAAGAGUAGUAUUGUUGCAAGAGAAGGUCAGAAGCAAGGAUUAGAGAGCUGUUAAUGGGUCGGAAGAGUUGGAAGAGCUCAUAGCUAGCCUUUAAGUCUCUUGGGUGUUAUUGGCACUUUAAGGUAAGUAAAUUCUGCACUUUUUCGUCUGGACCUGUCUUCACUAAUCAAGUCAUAUCUGAUAAACCGUAAUUCGGAUUGAAAUUCCGUUUGUUUCUAUGGAUAGCUAACUCAAAUACGGUCGUUGUGGUACCGGUUGCAUAAUUUUUCGACGAGCGAUGAGGUCGAUAAACAUUUUUGAAGUUGGAAGUCAGUAGCAGAGCUUGUGCAGAAAAAUCUGGUUUUUUGGUGUUUUAUGGACUACGGAUUUGCAUUUUGAGCGGCACAAACGGAUGAUUAUAAGCAUGCGAAACAGUUCGGAAUCUCUAUCAAACUCAGGUGGGUUCCUUUAGGUAUUAGCAAUACAUUAUUUAAUUGGCCAUUAAGUAGAGCCAUUAGUAAUUAAGUCAUAGAUACAUUACUUUGGAGUAUUAGCAUUCCCAUUGUACUCCUAAUGUUCAUCAAACCUUAUUGAUGAACAUGAAUUAUACAUAAAUAAGCUAACCCUUCCCCAUUGCUUAUUAUGUGAAUUUUAGAUUAGGUGUUUUGUGAUGAUGCUUAAACCCAAAGCUCAUUAAUGCGUUAAAAUUAUGUUUAAGAGCAUGCAAGUUGUGUCAAUGAUCAACUGGACUGCAGGUGUUGAUUUUACAAUUUGUUGGAUCCGUUCACGAGUCAUGUUUCCGAGUUUGACUUGAGAAUGAAUUCUUACUACUUUUAUUACUGAACAACACUCGUUUNNNNNNNNNNNNNNNNNNNNNNNNNNNNNNNNNNNNNNNNNNNNNNNNNNNNNNNNNNNNNNNNNNNNNNNNNNNNNNNNNNNNNNNNNNNNNNNNCUGUGCUGUUCUGUCAUGUGUUGUGUUGUUCUGUCUUGUACUGUUCUGUCCAGUACUUACCCUUUAACAAAUCAAACACACCCAUAGUGUUAUUUAAGUAAUGAUUAUGUUCCCUUGGAUCAGGAUAUGCACGGGUAGGAUAACAACUAAUGAUUAGGUGAUUCCUAUUAUUAGGAAUCCAUUAAGUUAAGAUUAUUAGAAUUAAAUCAGUUGAUCUUAUGAAAUUGAUUAUGGGCCUUGUGCCAUAUUUCAGAAUGAAAUGUUUCGGUGGCCUUUGUACCACAUUUAUGAAUAAAAUGUUAAGUCGUGAUCCUGGUGAUACCGGAGACUACCUGAUAUAGGAGUUGGAUAAUCUGGUUGGAUUCCCAGAGGGAAUUCCACAUGACAAUAAGAUGAGUCAAGGAGUCGUGUCCUAGCCCUCGAUAGGGAAUUUGACCGUAGAUAGACCUCCUGAGCCUAACUCACCUCAUGUUGUCUAUGUAAAAUGUAUGAAGAUAAUAAUUGUGUGUUACACCUUUAUUUAUGUUUAUGGUGUUCUUUAAUGAAUAUGAAUUAUAAGUGAACUACUGAUGAAUUAUCAAAAUUAUGCAUUCAGGUUUAAGACAAGAAUAGAAACUAUUAGUUUCAAUUACCCGGUGUAGUCACCAGUAGUUGGGUAGUAGGAGCUCACUGAGGCUUAAUAGUCUCAACCCACUCCAUUUAUGUUUUUUUUUUCAGAUAGUCAGGUUUACUAGAGCAAGAACCAGGUGGGAACUGAUGGUCGAGAUUGAGCUUGGAUUAUCCGAUGAGAAGAUUUGUCUUCUUCCUUGUUUUUGUAUUAAUCUGUUGUUUCCAUUAGUUUCCUUCCGUUGUGAAUUUUUGUAAUUAGAAGCCAUUCUGUAAUUUAAUGUACUCGGAUUCAAUGAUGUAAAUUCUGACUAAAUAUUCUAGACAUUUUAGUUGGGGUGUUAUAUUGAUUGUAGUCCUUAAAAAUAUAUUUCUUCGACUUUAUUUUAUAUAUAGGGUGGUACUGGUAGUCUCUUUGUUGCUCCCUUAUUUAUCGAAAAAAAAAGUUUUCAAACCAAAUAAAUAGGCUUAAAUGCAUUUUUGGUCCCCCUAUUUUCAAAAAAAUGAAGUUUUGAUUCCCUUAUUUUAAAAACCAACUUUUUAGUCCCCCUAUUUUCAUUUUUUUUGAGUUUUGAUCCCCAUCCUAUUUUGGGGUUAAUUUUGUUGAUGUGGCCUUGUAACUAAUGAUCUGGCAACAUUCAUGUGGACAGAUUUAAUAUCCAUGUCAUUAUUAUAUAUUUUUAAAUUCAAUAAAACUUUAUUUAUAAAAUAUUUUAAUUGUUAGAAUUAUAUAUUGAACUGAAAUAAUAAUUGUUAAAUCUUAUAAAAUAUGAAAUUUGAAACCUUAAUUAUCAAACCUUCAACUACUAGAAUUUUAUUCACUGUCGGAGAGAAUCCUUUCUUAUGGAUUUCAUUAAUCCUAUGGUUUCCGUUCAAACUCAACAAUUUUUGGAUUUUUAAAAAAGAAAAGAAAUUAGAGAUGAUUUUGUGUUUCAAUAGAAAUUACUCAUACUCUUUAAACUAUCUAUGACUUUGGAUGAGUUUGAAUGAAAAACCCAAAAAUUGUUUUAAGUUUGAAGUUUAAUUCUAGAUUGGUUUUAUAUAAAGUUGGAUAAUGAUGAAAGUUGAAGGUUCUUGAAACACAAAACUUGCUUUCAAUAUGCAAUUGUUUGAUAUGAAUCAAAGAGGAUCAUGUCCAUGUUGUGAUUCUUUGUUUUUUCUUAGGUUUAAUAAAUUAGAGGUUGUGAAUUUUU
This 2834-nucleotide long non-coding RNA is filed under the name Trifolium pratense (red clover). RNAcentral describes it as "long non-coding RNA (TPRA_LNC012016)". Lineage: Eukaryota; Viridiplantae; Streptophyta; Magnoliopsida; Fabales; Fabaceae. The record is from RNAcentral.